Molecule: ribosomal RNA, 484 nt
Filed under: uncultured bacterium
Lineage: Bacteria
Description: partial 16S ribosomal RNA
Rfam family: Bacterial small subunit ribosomal RNA
Source: RNAcentral
AUGAACGCUGGCGGCGUGCUUAACACAUGCCAGUCGAACGGGAUCCAAGGGGUGCUUGCACUUUUUGGUGAGAGUGGCGAACGGGUGAGUAACACGUGAGUAACCUGUCCUUUUCUUUGGGAUAAGCAUUCGAAAGGGUGUUUAAUACCUUAUGUUCUGUCUGCCUCGCAUGGGGUGGGUGGGAAAGGCUUUGGCCGGAUUUGGGUGGGCUCGCGGUCUAUCAGCUUGUUGGUGGGGUGAUGGCUUACCAAGGCUUUGACGGGUAGCCGGCCUGAGAGGGUGGUCGGUCACAUUGGGACUGAGAUACGGCCCAGACUCCUGCGGGAGGCAGCAGUGGGGGAUAUUGCACAAUGGGCGAAAGCCUGAUGCAGCGACGCCGCGUGGGGGAUGAAGGCCUUCGGGUUGUAAACUUCUUUUGCUCUGAACAAGGCAUGCCAGUGGGUGUGUUGAGUGUAGGGGUUGAUUAGCGCCGGCUAACUACGUG